This 206-nucleotide ribosomal RNA is filed under the name uncultured bacterium. RNAcentral describes it as "partial 16S ribosomal RNA". It matches the Rfam family "Bacterial small subunit ribosomal RNA", at positions 524 to 726 of the family's 1533-position model. The record is from RNAcentral.
UACGUAGGGGGCAAGCGUUGUCCGGAUUUAUUGGGCGUAAAGAGCUCGUAGGCGGUUCCGUAAGUCGUGAAGUCAAAUCUCUGGGCUCAACCCAGAAUCGCUUCCGAUACUGCGGUGACUGGAGUCCGGUAGGGGAGUGUGGGAAUUCCUGGUGUAGCGGUGAAAUGCGCAGAUAUCAGGAGGAACACCAACAGGCGAAAGGCACG